This 1392-nucleotide ribosomal RNA is filed under the name metagenome. RNAcentral describes it as "bacterial SSU rRNA". It matches the Rfam family "Bacterial small subunit ribosomal RNA". The record is from RNAcentral.
GUCGAACGAGACCUUCGGGUCUAGUGGCGGACGGGUGAGUAACGCGUGGGAAUCUGCCUAGCGGCGGGGAAUAACAGUUGGAAACGACUGCUAAUACCGCAUACGCCCCAUGGGGGAAACGCUUCGGCCACCGCUAGAGGAGCCCGCGUCCGAUUAGCUAGUUGGUGAGGUAACGGCUCACCAAGGCGACGAUCGGUAGCUGGUCUGAGAGGAUGAUCAGCCACACUGGGACUGAGACACGGCCCAGACUCCUACGGGAGGCAGCAGUGGGGAAUAUUGGACAAUGGGGGAAACCCUGAUCCAGCGACGCCGCGUGGGUGAUGAAGGCCUUCGGGUUGUAAAGCCCUUUCGUCCACGAUGAUGAUGACAGUAGUGGAAGAAGAAGCUCCGGCUAACUUCGUGCCAGCAGCCGCGGUAAUACGAAGGGGGCUAGCGUUGCUCGGAAUUACUGGGCGUAAAGCGCACGUAGGCGGCCAUGACAGUCAGAUGUGAAAGGCCUGGGCUCACCCCGGGAAUUGCAUUUGAUACUGCAUGGCUAGAGUCCAAGAGAGGGUAGUGGAAUUCCCAGUGUAGAGGUGAAAUUCGUAGAUAUUGGGAAGAACACCAGUGGCGAAGGCGGCUACCUGGCUGGUACUGACGCUCAGGUGCGGAAGCGUGGGGAGCGAACAAGAUUAGAUACCCUGGUAGUCCACGCCGUAAACGAUGGGUGCUAGAUGUCGGGCAGCUUGCUGUUCGGUGUCGUAGCUAACGCGUUAAGCACCCCGCCUGGGGAGUACGGCCGCAAGGUUAAAACUCAGAGGAAUUGACGGGGGCCCGCACAAGCGGUGGAGCAUGUGGUUUAAUUCGAUGCAACGCGAAGAACCUUACCAGGUCUUGACAUGGGAAGUAUGGGCUCCAGAAACGGAGUCCUUCAGUUCGGCUGGCUUCCACACAGGUGCUGCAUGGCUGUCGUCAGCUCGUGUCGUGAGAUGUUGGGUUAAGUCCCGCAACGAGCGCAACCCUCGCUUUCAGUUGCCAUCAUUCAGUUGGGCACUCUGAAGGAACUGCCGGUGACAAGCCGGAGGAAGGUGGGGAUGACGUCAAGUCCUCAUGGCCCUUACGACCUGGGCUACACACGUGCUACAAUGGCGGUGACAGUGGGCAGCUACCCUGCGAAGGGAUGCUAAUCCUCAAAAGCCGUCUCAGUUCGGAUUGCACUCUGCAACUCGAGUGCAUGAAGUUGGAAUCGCUAGUAAUCGUGGAUCAGCAUGCCACGGUGAAUACGUUCUCGGGCCUUGUACACACCGCCCGUCACACCAUGGGAGUUGGUUUUACCUUAAGCCGGUGCGCUAACCGCAAGGAGGCAGCCGACCACGGUAAGGUCAGCGACUGGGGUGAAGUCGGAACAAGCUA